This 248-nucleotide ribosomal RNA is filed under the name uncultured bacterium. RNAcentral's name for it is "partial 16S ribosomal RNA". It matches the Rfam family "Bacterial small subunit ribosomal RNA", at positions 523 to 769 of the family's 1533-position model. The record is from RNAcentral.
AUACGUAGGGUGCGAGCGUUAAUCGGAAUUACUGGGCGUAAAGCGUGCGCAGGCGGUUGUUUAAGACAGAUGUGAAAGCCCCGGGCUCAACCUGGGAAUUGCGUUUGUGACUGGACGACUAGAGUGCAACAGAGGGGGGUGGAAUUCCACGUGUAGCAGUGAAAUGCGUAGAGAUGUGGAGGAACACCGAUGGCGAAGGCAGCCCCCCUGGGUUGACACUGACGCUCAUGCACGAAAGCGUGGGGAGC